GAUGAAGAACGCAGCGAAAUGCGAUAAGUAAUGUGAAUUGCAGAAUUCCGUGAAUCAUCGAAUCUUUGAACGCAUAUUGCGCCCUCUGGUAUUCCGGGGGGCAUGCCUGUUCGAGCGUCAUUAUAACCACUCAAGCUCUCGCUUGGUAUUGGGGUUCGCGGUUCCGCGGCCCCUAAAAUCAGUGGCGGUGCCUGUCGGCUCUACGCGUAGUAAUACUCCUCGCGAUUGAGUCCGGUAGGUCUACUUGCCAGCAACCCCCAAUUUUUACAGGUUGACCUCGGAUCAGGUAGGGAUACCCGCUGAACUUAAGCAUAUCAAUAAGCGGAGGA
Molecule: unclassified non-coding RNA, 329 nt
Filed under: soil metagenome
Description: partial contains 5.8S ribosomal RNA, internal transcribed spacer 2, and large subunit ribosomal RNA
Rfam family: 5.8S ribosomal RNA (bases 1-120)
Source: RNAcentral